Non-coding RNA from Gossypium hirsutum (cotton), 145 nucleotides. The record is from Rfam. NCBI's taxonomy places the organism in Eukaryota, Viridiplantae, Streptophyta, Magnoliopsida, Malvales, Malvaceae.
UGUUAAAAAUUUCAUCUAUGUUUAUUGUUAAAAACUGGCAUGGUUAAUGAGAUAACCAAAAAGUGGCACGUAGCAUACUACUUGUAUCUCAUACUGAUGUACAUGAACCAAAUUUUAACGAUAGAAUUAGAUUGAAUUUUUAAUA